Molecule: small RNA, 61 nt
Filed under: Arabidopsis thaliana (thale cress)
Lineage: Eukaryota; Viridiplantae; Streptophyta; Magnoliopsida; Brassicales; Brassicaceae
Description: ATSL207650
Source: RNAcentral
UGUCUGGUUUCCGAUCGGCACGAGAUUUUGUGGGAAGCUUCGUGACGUCUAAGUCUAGCGU